UACUUGUACCGACUGGAUGAGCAGCGAACGGGUGAGUAACGCGUGGGGAAUCUGCCUUUGAGCGGGGGACAACAUUUGGAAACGAAUGCUAAUACCGCAUAAAAACUUUAAACACAAGUUUUAAGUUUGAAAGAUGCAAUUGCAUCACUCAAAGAUGAUCCCGCGUUGUAUUAGCUAGUUGGUGAGGUAAAGGCUCACCAAGGCGAUGAUACAUAGCCGACCUGAGAGGGUGAUCGGCCACAUUGGGACUGAGACACGGCCCCAACUCCUACGGAGGACGUCAGUAGCGAAUCUUCGGCAAUGGACGGAAGUCUGACCGAGCAACGCCGCGUGAGUGAAGAAGGUUUUCGGAUCGUAAAACUCUGUUGGUAGAGAAGAACGUUGGUGAGAGUGGAAAGCUCAUCAAGUGACGGUAACUACCCCAGAAAGGGACGGCUAACUACGUGCCAGCAGCCGCUGUAAUACGUAGGUCCCGAGCGUUGUCCGGAUUUAUUGGGCGUAAAGCGAGCGCAGGUGGUUUAUUAAGUCUGGUGUAAAAGGCAGUGGCUCAACCAUUGUAUGCAUUGGAAACUGGUAGACUUGAGUGCAGGAGAGGAGAGUGGAAUUCCAUGUGUAGCGGUGAAAUGCGUAGAUAUAUGGAGGAACACCGGUGGCGAAAGCGGCUCUCUGGCCUGUAACUGACACUGAGGCUCGAAAGCGUGGGGAGCAAACAGGAUUAGAUACCCUGGUAGUCCACGCCGUAAACGAU
This 748-nucleotide ribosomal RNA is filed under the name Lactococcus lactis. RNAcentral's name for it is "bacterial SSU rRNA". It matches the Rfam family "Bacterial small subunit ribosomal RNA", at positions 77 to 810 of the family's 1533-position model. The record is from RNAcentral. Lineage: Bacteria; Bacillati; Bacillota; Bacilli; Lactobacillales; Streptococcaceae.